RNAcentral lists this ribosomal RNA (463 nucleotides) under uncultured bacterium. RNAcentral describes it as "partial 16S ribosomal RNA". It matches the Rfam family "Bacterial small subunit ribosomal RNA", at positions 28 to 502 of the family's 1533-position model. The record is from RNAcentral.
GACGAACGCUGGCGGCGUGCUUAACACAUGCAAGUCGAACGGAAAGGCCCUGCUUUUGUGGGGUGCUCGAGUGGCGAACGGGUGAGUAACACGUGAGUAACCUGCCCUUGACUUUGGGAUAACUUCAGGAAACUGGGGCUAAUACCGGAUAGGAGCUCCUGCUGCAUUGUGGGGGUUGGAAAGUUUCUGCGGUUGGGGAUGGACUCGCGGCUUAUCAGCUUGUUGGUGGGGUAGUGGCUUACCAAGGCUUUGACGGGUAGCCGGCCUGAGAGGGUGACCGGCCACAUUGGGACUGAGAUACGGCCCAGACUCCUACGGGAGGUAGCAGUGGGGACUAUUGCACAAUGGGCGGAAGCCUGAUGCAGCAACGCCGCGUGCGGGAUGACGGCCUUCGGGUUGUAAACCGCUUGCGCCUGUGACGAAGCGUGAGUGACGGGAAGGGGUAAAGAAGCACCGGCUAACU